This 618-nucleotide long non-coding RNA is filed under the name Physcomitrium patens. RNAcentral's name for it is "long non-coding RNA (PPAT_LNC000354)". Lineage: Eukaryota; Viridiplantae; Streptophyta; Bryopsida; Funariales; Funariaceae. The record is from RNAcentral.
UUUGAUUUAGGAUUUAGGGUUUGGUUAGGGUUUGGUUUAGGAUUUGGGAUUUGGAUUAGGAUUUAGGAUUUGGAUAGGAUUUGAUUUAGGGUUUAGGGUUUGAUUAGGAUUUGGUUUAGGAUUUAGAUUAGGGUUUGGUUUAGGAUUUGGUUUAGGAUUUAGUUUAGGAUUUAGGGUUUGGAUUAGGGUUUGAUUUAGAAUUUGGUUUAGGAUUUGGUUUAGGAUUUAGUAUUUGGAUUAGGAUUUGGUUUAGAAUUUGGUUUAGGGUUUGGUUAAGGGUUUAGGGUUUGGAUUAGGAUUUGAUUUAAGGUUUGGUUAGAGUUUGAUUUAGGAUUUAGGAUUUGGUUAGGAUUUGAUUUAGGGUUUAGGAUUUUAUUAGGAUUUAAGAUUCAAUUAGUUUGGCUUAAAAUUUGAAUGAAUUUCAAUAGGAUUUUAAUUAGAAUUAAAUUAAGAUUGAAUUGAGAUGUAUUUGAAUGACAUUUGUGUUCUUUCUAAUGUUUCUUUAAAAAUUCUUAUUAUUUUUUUGAAAUUUCUUUGAGGUUUUUUUAAAUUUGAUUAAGCUUGUUUAAUAUUAUUAUAGUCUAAUUAGAGUAUUGUUAGUAUUCUAUUAGAAUUAGG